CAGAUUAGAGCUUGAUAUAAGUUUUUUAUUUACACUAAAAGGAUAGUUUAAUGUAAACUUAAUCUGA
This 67-nucleotide transfer RNA is filed under the name Smaragdina rufimana. RNAcentral describes it as "tRNA-Val". The record is from RNAcentral. Lineage: Eukaryota; Metazoa; Arthropoda; Insecta; Coleoptera; Chrysomelidae.